GGGAAUAUGGCUUAGUGGUAGAGUGCUUGCCUCACAUACAUGAAGCCUGGGUUCAAUCCCUUAGUACCA
RNAcentral lists this transfer RNA (69 nucleotides) under Dipodomys ordii (Ord's kangaroo rat). It matches the Rfam family "tRNA". Rfam says of the family: Transfer RNA (tRNA) molecules are approximately 80 nucleotides in length. Their secondary structure includes four short double-helical elements and three loops (D, anti-codon, and T loops). The record is from Rfam by way of RNAcentral. Lineage: Eukaryota; Metazoa; Chordata; Mammalia; Rodentia; Heteromyidae.